Molecule: non-coding RNA, 30 nt
Filed under: Mus musculus (house mouse)
Lineage: Eukaryota; Metazoa; Chordata; Mammalia; Rodentia; Muridae
Source: RNAcentral
UACUUUUGGGUUCUGGCCAUUUGGGUGUGU